RNAcentral lists this ribosomal RNA (301 nucleotides) under uncultured bacterium. Its description in RNAcentral is "partial 16S ribosomal RNA". It matches the Rfam family "Bacterial small subunit ribosomal RNA", at positions 509 to 807 of the family's 1533-position model. The record is from RNAcentral.
CAGCCGCCACGGGAAUACGGAGGGUGCAAGCGUUAAUCGGAAUUACUGGGCGUAAAGCGCACGCAGGCGGUCUGACAAGUCAGAUGUGAAAUCCCCGGGCUUAACCUGGGAACUGCAUUUGAAACUGUCAGGCUGGAGUCUUGUAGAGGGGGGUGGAAUUCCAGGUGUAGCGGUGAAAUGCGUAGAGAUCUGGAGGAAUACCGGUGGCGAAGGCGGCCCCCUGGACAAAGACUGACGCUCAGGUGCGAAAGCGUGGGGAGCAAACAGGAUUAGAUACCCCGGUAGUCCUUGUCUCUUAUAC